CACUCAAUUCAAGAAUUUCUUUCUACUAUAUAUAAUUAAGCCUUUUUCUGGUGUUGCUAUUUUCUUGGAUUAUGAAUGUUCCCCUUCAUUCGAUCUGCAAAAACCACACCAAUGCUUCUCAUGCAUGCAUGUGUCUUGGACUCUUGGAUUCAUUCUUAGCUUGGAAUAGAUCAGAUCCAGGAAUUCAGUUAUGGAGAUCAGACAACACCAGGCAGUCCAGAUGAGAUGAUAUGUUUCUCAAGGAUUUAUAUUAAACCCCUGCUUAACACCUUAUGCCAAAACAAAGUCCAAGGCAUCCAGCAGACAUCUCUUUGUAGAACCUGGUUCAAUUUGUUGAGGUGUCUCAUGACUCUCAUCACUUGUAACCUUUAGAGGUGGUGCCACACCUGGACUGCUGACUGACAAGGACCUCAAAAGGAUUAAGCAGGAGAUGACCCUAACAGGAAGGAGCUGCUAAGAUGGGGGAACCGAUUGAACAUUGUAGAAGGAAUUGCUCAGGGGUUACUCUAUCUACACAAAUAUUUGAGGUUGACGGUUAUCCAUAGAGAUUUAAAAAGCGGCAACAUCUUAUUGGGUAAGUAGGAAGAUAGACUUGGUUUAUGGUGGUGGAAGUAUAAGUUUGAUGGGUUUGAUUUCCAAAAGAGUCUAUGAUAGAGGAUGUCAUGUUCUUGGGGUGAUUGCUAAAG
Molecule: long non-coding RNA, 686 nt
Organism: Ipomoea nil (Japanese morning glory)
Lineage: Eukaryota; Viridiplantae; Streptophyta; Magnoliopsida; Solanales; Convolvulaceae
Exons: 8
Source: RefSeq, a predicted model, not a curated record